UUCCUGGAGGACUAGUGGUUAGGCCAUGGCACAAUCACCGCCACGGCCUGGGUUCAAAUCUCAGCCAGGGAA
Pangasius djambal is the source of this 72-nucleotide non-coding RNA. The record is from the annotation of a GenBank genome assembly. NCBI's taxonomy places the organism in Eukaryota, Metazoa, Chordata, Actinopteri, Siluriformes, Pangasiidae.